Molecule: ribosomal RNA, 657 nt
Filed under: uncultured bacterium
Lineage: Bacteria
Description: bacterial SSU rRNA
Rfam family: Bacterial small subunit ribosomal RNA
Source: RNAcentral
UCGAUGGGCGAACUCACGAGUACGCCGCGUGAGGGAUGAAGGCCUCUGGGCUGUAACCUCUUUUAUCAAGGAAGAAGAUCUGACGGUACUUGAUGAAUAAGCCACGGCUAAUUCCGUGCCAGCAGCCGCGGUAAUACGGGAGUGGCAAGCGUUAUCCGGAAUUAUUGGGCGUAAAGCGUCCGCAGGCGGUCUUUUAAGUCUGUCGUCAAAGCGUGGAGCUUAACUCCAUUUCUGCGAUGGAAACUGGAAGACUAGAGUGUGGUAGGGGCAGAGGGAAUUCCCGGUGUAGCGGUGAAAUGCGUAGAUAUCGGGAAAAACACCAGUGGCGAAGGCGCUCUGCUGGGCCAUAACUGACGCUCAUGGACGAAAGCCAGGGGAGCGAAAGGGAUUAGAUACCCCUGUAGUCCUGGCCGUAAACGAUGAACACUAGGUGUCGGGGGAAUCGACCCCCUCGGUGUCGUAGCCAACGCGUUAAGUGUUCCGCCUGGGGAGUACGCACGCAAGUGUGAAACUCAAAGGAAUUGACGGGGGCCCGCACAAGCGGUGGAGUAUGUGGUUUAAUUCGAUGCAACGCGAAGAACCUUACCAGGGUUUGACAUCCUUGCGAAUCCCUUGGAAACGAGGGAGUUGCUUCGGGAGCGCAGUGACAGGUGGUGC